RNAcentral lists this ribosomal RNA (470 nucleotides) under uncultured bacterium. Its description in RNAcentral is "partial 16S ribosomal RNA". It matches the Rfam family "Bacterial small subunit ribosomal RNA", at positions 33 to 541 of the family's 1533-position model. The record is from RNAcentral.
AACGAACGCUGGCGGCAGGCCUAACACAUGCAAGUCGAGCGCCCUUUCGGGGGAGCGGCGGACGGGUGAGUAACGCGUGGGAAUAUGCCCUUCUCUACGGAAUAGCCUCGGGAAACUGAGAGUAAUACCGUAUACGCCCUAUGGGGGAAAGAUUUAUCGGGGAAGGAUUAGCCCGCGUUGGAUUAGGUAGUUGGUGGGGUAAUGGCCUACCAAGCCGACGAUCCAUAGCUGGUUUGAGAGGAUGAUCAGCCACACUGGGACUGAGACACGGCCCAGACUCGUGGGGGAGGCGGCAGGGGAGAAUCUAAGAAGUGGGGGGCAACCAUGAGUGAGCACUGGCGGGUGAGGGAUGAAGGCCUUGGUGUUGUAAAGCUGUUGACGGUGGGAAUAAAAUGGCUGUACCAGCAGAAGAAGCCCAGGACAACUCCGUGCCAGAAGACGAGUUAAUAGUCAAAGACACACGUCUGAAC